UCGAACGGGAAAAGUCCUUCGGGAACCGAGUACAGUGGCGCACGGGUGAGUAAUACGUAGGUGACCUACCUAUUGCUGGGGAACAACCCCGGGAAACCGGAGCUAAUUCCGCAUACGCUUUCCAGUCUGCGGGCUGGAACGGAAAGAUGGCCUCUUCAUGAAAGCUAUCGGCGAUAGAUGGGCUUGCGCGUCAUUAGCUUGUUGGUGAGGUAACGGCUCACCAAGGCUGCGAUGACUAGCUGGUCUGAGAGGAUGAUCAGCCACACUGGCACUGGAACACGGGCCAGACUCCUACGGGAGGCAGCAGUGGGGAAUAUUGCGCAAUGGGCGAAAGCCUGACGCAGCAACGCCGCGUGAGUGACGAAGGCCUUCGGGUCGUAAAGCUCUGUCGAGAGGGACGAAACACUGGUGAGAACAAUACCUCACCGGCUUGACGGUACCUCCAAAGGAAGCACCGGCUAACUCCGUGCCAGCAGCCGCGGUAAUACGGAGGGUGCAAGCGUUGUUCGGAAUUACUGGGCGUAAAGGGCGUGUAGGCGGAUCAAGAAGUCGGGUGUGAAAGCCCUUGGGCUUCAACCAGGAAGUGCGCCCGAAACCAUUGGUCUUGAGUUUCNGCAGGGGAGCGGGGAAUUCCCAGUGUAGAGGUGAAAUUCGUAGAUAUUGGGAAGAACACCGGUGCCGAAGGGGCCGCUCUGGACGAAAAC
RNAcentral lists this ribosomal RNA (704 nucleotides) under uncultured organism. Its description in RNAcentral is "bacterial SSU rRNA". It matches the Rfam family "Bacterial small subunit ribosomal RNA", at positions 62 to 740 of the family's 1533-position model. The record is from RNAcentral.